RNAcentral lists this ribosomal RNA (433 nucleotides) under uncultured bacterium. Its description in RNAcentral is "partial 16S ribosomal RNA". It matches the Rfam family "Bacterial small subunit ribosomal RNA", at positions 29 to 507 of the family's 1533-position model. The record is from RNAcentral.
AACGAAAGCUGGCGGCAUGCCUAACACAUGCAAGUCGAACGAGACCUUCGGGUCUAGUGGCGCACGGGUGCGUAACGCGUGGGAACCUGCCCUUAGGUUCGGAAUAACUCCCCGAAAGGGGUGCUAAUACCGGAUAAUGUCUUCGGACCAAAGAUUUAUCGCCUUUGGAUGGGCCCGCGUUGGAUUAGCUAGUUGGUAGGGUAAAAGCCUACCAAGGCGACGAUCCAUAGCUGGUCUGAGAGGAUGAUCAGCCACACUGGGACUGAGACACGGCCCAGACUCCUACGGGAGGCAGCAGUGGGGAAUAUUGGACAAUGGGCGAAAGCCUGAUCCAGCAAUGCCGCGUGAGUGAUGAAGGCCUUAGGGUUGUAAAGCUCUUUUACCCGGGAUGAUAAUGACAGUACCGGGAGAAUAAGCUCCGGCUAACUCCGUG